RNAcentral lists this ribosomal RNA (466 nucleotides) under uncultured bacterium. Its description in RNAcentral is "partial 16S ribosomal RNA". It matches the Rfam family "Bacterial small subunit ribosomal RNA", at positions 28 to 507 of the family's 1533-position model. The record is from RNAcentral.
GACGAACGCUGGCGGCGCGCCUAACACAUGCAAGUCGAACGAGCGAGAUAGAGCUUGCUUUCUCGAGCGAGUGGCGAACGGGUGAGUAACGCGUGAGGAACCUGCCUCGAAGAGGGGGACAACAGUUGGAAACGACUGCUAAUACCGCAUAAGCCCACGACUCGGCCUCGGGUAGAGGGAAAUGUAGCAAUCCGCUUUGAGAUGGCCUCGCGUCCGAUUAGCUAGUUGGUGAGGUAACGGCCCACCAAGGCGACGAUCGGUAGCCGGACUGAGAGGUUGAACGGCCACAUUGGGACUGAGACACGGCCCAGACUCCUACGGGAGGCAGCAGUGGGGAAUAUUGCACAAUGGGGGAAACCCUGAUGCAGCGACGCCGCGUGGAGGAAGAAGGUCUUCGGAUUGUAAACUCCUGUUGUGGAGGAAGAUAAUGACGGUACUCAACAAGGAAGUGACGGCUAACUACGUG